Molecule: long non-coding RNA, 723 nt
Filed under: Rattus norvegicus (Norway rat)
Lineage: Eukaryota; Metazoa; Chordata; Mammalia; Rodentia; Muridae
Description: long non-coding RNA NONRATT025916
Source: RNAcentral
AGGGAGGGAGGGAAGGAGGACACACACACACACACACACACACACACACACACACACACACACGUGCACUUACAUGGCUCAGAUGUUGUUCCUCUUUCCUCUCAAAACAGUGUAGGUAGCAAGUAGCAAGCAUGAUUAUUCAGUUUCUCUUCUGGCCAGACCAGACAUCUGCCACAGUCAUCAAGGCUUCUUGGAUUGUGAUGCCUUGGGUGAAAGAUAUGAGAGGGAAUGGAAGGGGAGGAGGUUGCGUCUGCCCACCCGAGGUCAAGCCUGGGAGAGCCUCUUCUGGCUCUGAGCCUUGAGAGAAAGGAACCAGCUCAUGUGUGCUCUAUACCCUAUGCAGCAGUUUGGGGGACAUGGCUGUAUCCUGCCUUUGACCUAGGACAGGGAAGAGGAGAGACAAACCUCUUUCGGCUGAGAGUCAGCUUGAAGACUUGAUCUGCUUGAGGACUCAACUAAGCAGAAGCCGGAAAAGAGUGUUAGAUCCUCUGGAACUGGAGUUGGCAGACAGUUGUGUGCUGCCAUUUGGAAUCUUGGAAUCAAAUCCCAGCUCCUUAGAAAUGCAGCCAAUGCUCUUAACAGCUGAGCCAUCUCUCCAGCCUUGUACCCUUCCACAACAGCACUUAUAAAAAUAUAUUUUCACUGGGCAACGGAGGUGCACGCCUUUAAUCCCAGCACUUGGAAGGCAGAGGCAUGGGGAAUCUCUGAGUUAAAGACCAGCCU